Molecule: ribosomal RNA, 253 nt
Filed under: uncultured bacterium
Lineage: Bacteria
Description: partial 16S ribosomal RNA
Rfam family: Bacterial small subunit ribosomal RNA
Source: RNAcentral
UACGGGGGGGGUAAGCGUUGUUCGGAAUUACUGGGCGUAAAGGGCUCGUAGGCGGCCAACUAAGUCGGACGUGAAAUCCCUCAGCUUAACUGGGGAACUGCGUCCGAUACUGGAUGGCUUGGAUUUGGGAGAGGGAAGCGGAAUUUCGGGUGUAGCGGUGAAAUGCGCAGAUAUCCGAAGGAACACCGGUGGCGAAGGCGGCUUCCUGGACCGACACUGACGCUGAGGCGCGAAAGCUAGGGGAGCAAACGGG